RNAcentral lists this ribosomal RNA (282 nucleotides) under Triticum aestivum (bread wheat). RNAcentral's name for it is "partial small subunit ribosomal RNA". Lineage: Eukaryota; Viridiplantae; Streptophyta; Magnoliopsida; Poales; Poaceae. The record is from RNAcentral.
AUGGUGGGGGAUGAUGGUGGGAUUACAUUGCUUCAAUCUCAUUAUGUGGAAAAGAUCUUGAGUCGCUUUGGAUAUAGUGACUGCAAGCCCUCUCCAACCCCAUAUGAUGCGAGUGUGUUACUUCGAAAGAAUCAAAGAAUUGCUAGAGAUCAGUUGAAAUAUUCUCAGAUUAUUGGCUCGCUUAUGUACUUAGCCAGUGCUACAAGACCUGACAUCUCUUUUGCUGUUAGCAAACUGAGUCGGUUUGUCUCAAACCAGGAGAUGUGCAUUGGAAAGCUCUAG